CUUGAAAUGGGCUGAGUCCCUCUUGCUCACCCUUGACUUGGAAAAACCAGUUUCUCUUUUAUUGUCUGUUACUAAUCUCUAUUCUAAAAAUUCAGCUCAAUUCUCAACCAUACUCCAAACUCUCUCUUUUCCAGCUACCUUUACUCCCUCUCCUUCAAUUCCACUUUCCUCUGCUUACUUUUUUUUUUUUUCUGACAGGGUCUCACUUUGUCGCCCGGGCAGGAGUGCAGUGGCUCAAUCUUGGGCUCACUGCAGCCUCAACCUCCCAGAGGCGGGGUUUCACCAUGUUGCCCAGACUGGUCUUGAACUCCUGAGCUUAAGCAAUCCACCUGCCUCGGCCUCCCAAAGUGUUGGGAUCACAGGCGUGAGCCACCGCAUCCGGCCUCAUGUUCUUUUUCAUUAAAGAGAGAAAUCAACUAUUCAGGACCGGCCCCCACCUUUCCUCAGGAGUCAUUUCUGUUCCGCACAGGCCUGCUGAACUGGGUGCUUUAUAUAGGGUAAGUGUUUCUCAUUUUUUGUUCCCUGUCCUCAAGCCUUAGGGGCAAAAGAAACAUCCAAGAUUUGAAAUUUCUUUUCUUCUUCUCAUCUGCAUGGCUGUAGCCAUCUCUCUGUUCUGCAUUAUCUUAUGACAAAAAAAAAAAAUUCUUAUUUUGAAGCAAACUCAAAGCUAGGUCCUGAUGUCUCAAGGCACAGGUACUCGUACUUAAAGACACUGUCAUCUCUCAAGUACCCAUCUUGGAGGGUACGGACCCCACAUGAGGAAAGGACCAACCACACCGAGCUCAGUUAUGGCACACACAGUGGGACCUAGACAAAGGGAGAGGGUGACCGACAUCCCAACUAGGGUCCCCAGGCAGGUGGCUGGGACACUAUUUGCAAUCAGCAAGGAACCCUGCUGCCCUUAGACUCCCCACAGAGCAAGCAGAACUUGCAGAAUGGGGUAAAAACACUCUAUUAAAGAUUUUUUAAACCUAUUUAUAUUGUAAUAAAGUAAAUGUAAAUAAAAUUUA
RNAcentral lists this long non-coding RNA (1010 nucleotides) under Homo sapiens (human). RNAcentral's name for it is "PREDICTED lncRNA (TCONS_00011095)". The record is from RNAcentral. Lineage: Eukaryota; Metazoa; Chordata; Mammalia; Primates; Hominidae.